CGUGGAAAUGAAAAACACUAGAUACUUUUUCUAGAAAUAUGGACUAAUGGAAGUUUAACCCCUAAGGAAGCACUUUAUAAGGCUUCUCGUAAUUUGAUUGAUUUAUUUCUUCCUUUUCUACACGCGGAGGAAGAGGGUGGAAAGCUCCUACUAAGAUUAGAAAUUCCCCGAUAA
RNAcentral lists this ribosomal RNA (174 nucleotides) under Triticum aestivum (bread wheat). RNAcentral's name for it is "partial small subunit ribosomal RNA". The record is from RNAcentral. Lineage: Eukaryota; Viridiplantae; Streptophyta; Magnoliopsida; Poales; Poaceae.